UUACUAAUAGGUUAUAUAAACUGGUAGAUUGUGGUUCUAUUGAAUACUUGUUGAUUUGGUGGUAUUAGUAAA
Molecule: transfer RNA, 72 nt
Filed under: Taenia sp. MPM<JPN>:20922
Lineage: Eukaryota; Metazoa; Platyhelminthes; Cestoda; Cyclophyllidea; Taeniidae
Description: tRNA-His
Source: RNAcentral